This is a long non-coding RNA of Hypanus sabinus (Atlantic stingray), 1975 nucleotides long. RefSeq lists it as uncharacterized. NCBI's taxonomy places the organism in Eukaryota, Metazoa, Chordata, Chondrichthyes, Myliobatiformes, Dasyatidae. The transcript has 3 exons. The record is from RefSeq and is a predicted model, not a curated record.
UCUUCAUACAAAGAGUACUUGGUGUUUGGAAUGAGCGACGGGGAAGGCAUGGAGAGUGGGCGUCGGGAGGAUGUUUCCCAUAGCGGGGCAGUCUAGGAUCAGAGAGCACAGCAGAAUGGAGAGACCUCGCUUCUGCACAGACAUGAGAAAGAAUUUCUUUAGCCAGAGGGUGGUGAAUCUGUGGAAUUCAUCGCCGCAGAUUGCUGUGGAUGCCACGUCAUUGGAUAUAUUCAAAGGUUACGAGAAGAAAGCAGGAAAAUGGAGCUGAGAGGGAUAAUAAAUUAGCCAUGAUGGAAUAGCGGAAGACUCAAUGGGCCGAAUGGAGACGCCGUGCAGAAUAGGCUGCGCCGCCCAACACUCCCCCGAUUCACCGGACAAUUUAUAGUGACCAAUUAACCUACUAAGCGGUAACGGGCUGUGGGAGAAACCGGAGCACCCGGAGCGGCCACGGGGAGAGCGCACAGGAAGCAGAGGGAACUGAACCCGGAUCACUGAUACUGUCAAGAGUUGAGCGACCACGCCAUCCUAGGUCCUAUGGUUUAACAGGAGGCGGUGACCAGGAACGAUGCAGCUUGACCUGCUGUUCAUCCAACAGUUCGUCUGUUACUCCAGAUUCCAACAUUUGUCAUCUUGCACCCAAAUAACGUAGCCCGCCUUCCCCGCUCCCCACCAUCUCUGAUCCCACAACCUGGUACCUCCCGUGUCCCUUCACUCCAACCCCACCGCCCUCGGCUGCCAGGAGGUGAACACAAGCAGUUACUGGGCGCCAUCUGGAACCGACCCACCUCCGGGAGUGCCCGACUCCUCUCUGACCGUGGGGAUCCGCCUGAGAAGCGAGCCUUGCGCUCGGGAGCUGCAAUCUGCACGGGAUUAGGCUGGAGGAGGUGGGAACAUGCGUUGGUCUACAGAUCCCUGGAGACCCCCUUCCCCCUCCUCAGGAUAACGCUACGUUAUACCUUCGGCAACCAUCCAUAGUCCUGCCGGGAGUCUAUAAAACAUAGGAGCAGAAUUCGGCUAUUCAACCCAUCGCGGCUGCUCUCCAUUCUACCAUGGCUGAUUUAUUAUAAUCCCUUUCAACACCAUUCUCCCGAUUUCGCCCCGUAACCCUGGCGCCCAUCACAGCCCGUCUCCGUGCCCGUGUCCCAAGAGUUGGGCACCUUGGACCGAGCUCGCGAUACAGCAACUCAUCAGCCGCUCCAGGAACCACGGGGACCUUGUGCCGCCAGCAGAACCCGGACCCGCUCCGAAAGUGCCCUUUACCAAUCCAAAACAGAUCUUGCUGAAGUUCCCUGUCCCUCUUCGGUCAGACAGCGCCAUCUGGUGGCCACCAGCUCCGGCGCAGGCACCGACCCUGCGCGGCGCUUCUCUCCUCCGGACACCGGCGCUGCCCGACCCGCUCCUCCUCCACGAUGGGCCUGCGAUGCCAAUGGACGGCCAAUCAAUUUACUUUUCCAUUAGACAGGAGCCAGAAUGCAGCCCUGGGUUGGCUCACUGCAGCCUUUCCGCUCAAGGGUUCUUUUGAAGACCUUGACCUGGAGUUACACACUUUGUGGGAAUGGGACCCACUCUCAGGGUUUCACAAUCGGCCGUUAUUCACCAUGCCAAGGAUGCAGCCGAAGGGCUUCACUCACCUUCAGAGGUCUGGGAUCUCGUGGCUCUGGAGACGACAGAUCAAAGGUCGGUGUCCCAGCAGGAAUCAGUGUAUCAUGGGAGACAGAAGAUCUCUGGCUCUGUGCCCAGAGACCUGAGUUCUUUGGGCACAGAGCUUGGAAAAAGUGAUGCAACAGACUUUCUACAUCGUAAAUCAACAAGUUAUGUCUCCCCACUCGUUGUGAAACGGAGACACCUCUUUCUCCCUUGUUAGGGAGAGAGAGCCUGCAGAAUGUCAAAUACCGGGUGAACGAGUCUUUGGGGUACAGCAAGCCUGUGUCUUUGCUGUUGCUUUGUUCAUGCUUGAGUGCUUGAUGGGGGGCGG